UUCCUCAUUUCUCUUUCCUUAAGGUUUUUACACAAAAUUCAUGAUCUACGAAGAUCUAAUGGUCCGAUCUUCGAUCCGUCUUCAGAAACAUGAUCCCUGCACUUGGAUCUACGUUUCCACCGAUCGUUUUGAGUGAUACAUUGCAAGGUGAUGUCUAGGAGACCUAGGGCUUAAUAUCCGCGCAGCCAGAUGAUGUCCAUUUGACUGCAGGUACACCUGACUUAGAGGGGACCCCGUAGCUGCGUAUUUGAGAUAUUACGAUUGAAGCACACCGCGACAGUCGUAUUGAGUUGGACUAUGGAGUUCACUCUUUUGGGGUAUUUUGUAUAUGGCUCUUUUGUAUGGACCACAUGUAUAUUUAGAUGUGCUUUCCGUUAUGUGAUGCAACCUUAUGAUUAUUCCGCUGUUAGAUAUUACUCUGAAUAUCAGGUACAUGAUAUGGAGCAUGUAUGUAUGUUGGCUGAGCGACACGUAGUCGUGCCACUGUGAUGAACCUUUUAUGUUUUAUAAAUAUUUUAUACAAAAAAAAAAAUAAAAAAAAUGGGUCGUCACAGCAGAUGGUAUCAGAGCAGUUAGCUCUAGGGUUGG
Alnus glutinosa is the source of this 588-nucleotide long non-coding RNA. RefSeq lists it as uncharacterized. The transcript is spliced from 3 exons. The record is from RefSeq and is a predicted model, not a curated record. Lineage: Eukaryota; Viridiplantae; Streptophyta; Magnoliopsida; Fagales; Betulaceae.